AGUGGGGAAUAUUGGACAAUGGGCGAAAGCCUGAUCCAGCCAUGCCGGCGUGUGUGAAGAAGGUCUUCGGAUUGUAAAGCACUUUAAGUUGGGAGGAAGGGCAGUAAAUUAAUACUUUGCUGUUUUGACGUUACCGACAGAAUAAGCACCGGCUAACUCUGUGCCAGCAGCCGCGGUAAUACAGAGGGUGCAAGCGUUAAUCGGAAUUACUGGGCGUAAAGCGCGCGUAGGUGGUUCGUUAAGUUGGAUGUGAAAUCCCCGGGCUCAACCUGGGAACUGCAUUCAAAACUGACGAGCUAGAGUAUGGUAGAGGGUGGUGGAAUUUCCUGUGUAGCGGUGAAAUGCGUAGAUAUAGGAAGGAACACCAGUGGCGAAGGCGACCACCUGGACAUGAUACUGACACUGAGGUGCA
Molecule: ribosomal RNA, 412 nt
Filed under: gamma proteobacterium SCGC AAA027-I17
Lineage: Bacteria; Pseudomonadati; Pseudomonadota; Gammaproteobacteria
Description: bacterial SSU rRNA
Rfam family: Bacterial small subunit ribosomal RNA
Source: RNAcentral